UACUCGGGUGCUUAAGAGCUGAGAGGUUGUAAUAACAACUACCGAUAGAACCUGAUCUAGUUUAUACUAGCGUAGGGAGUAAAUUAUUU
RNAcentral lists this non-coding RNA (89 nucleotides) under uncultured Brevinema sp. RNAcentral describes it as "TPP riboswitch (THI element)". It matches the Rfam family "TPP riboswitch aptamer (THI element)", at positions 8 to 91 of the family's 105-position model. Rfam says of the family: Vitamin B(1) in its active form thiamin pyrophosphate (TPP) is an essential coenzyme that is synthesised by coupling of pyrimidine and thiazole moieties in bacteria. The previously detected thiamin-regulatory element, thi box was extended, resulting in a new, highly conserved RNA secondary structure, the THI element, which is widely distributed in eubacteria and also occurs in some archaea. Lineage: Bacteria; Pseudomonadati; Spirochaetota; Spirochaetia; Brevinematales; Brevinemataceae. The record is from RNAcentral.